AGCAGUAGCCGCGGGAAUACGUAGGUGGCAAGCGUUGUCCGGAAUUAUUGGGCGUAAAGGGCUCGCAGGCGGUUUCUUAAGUCUGAUGUGAAAGCCCCCGGCUCAACCGGGGAGGGUCAUUGGAAACUGGGAAACUUGAGUGCAGAAGAGGAGAGUGGAAUUCCACGUGUAGCGGUGAAAUGCGUAGAGAUGUGGAGAAACACCAGUGGCGAAGGCGACUCUCUGGUCUGUAACUGACGCUGAGGAGCGAAAGCGUGGGGAGCGAACAGGAUUAGAUACCCCUGUAGUCCCUGUCUCUUAUAC
RNAcentral lists this ribosomal RNA (303 nucleotides) under uncultured bacterium. RNAcentral describes it as "partial 16S ribosomal RNA". It matches the Rfam family "Bacterial small subunit ribosomal RNA", at positions 507 to 807 of the family's 1533-position model. The record is from RNAcentral.